UGGGGAAUAUUGCACAAUGGGCGAAAGCCUGAUGCAGCGACGCCGCGUGAGGGAUGACGGCCUUCGGGUUGUAAACCUCUUUCAGCAGGGACGAAGCGCAAGGGACGGUACCUGCAGAAGAAGCACCGGCUAACUACGUGCCAGCAGCCGCGGUAAUACGUAGGGUGCAAGCGUUGUCCGGAAUCACUGGGCGUAAAGAGUUCGUAGGCGGUUUGUCGCGUCGUUUGUGAAAACCAGCAGCUCAACUGCUGGCUUGCAGGCGAUACGGGCAGACUUGAGUACUGCAGGGGAGACUGGAAUUCCUGGUGUAGCGGUGAAAUGCGCAGAUAUCAGGAGGAACACCGGUGGCGAAGGCGGGUCUCUGGGCAGUAACUGACGCUGAGGAACGAAAGCGUGGGUAGCGAACAGG
This 409-nucleotide ribosomal RNA is filed under the name bacterium. Its description in RNAcentral is "partial 16S ribosomal RNA". It matches the Rfam family "Bacterial small subunit ribosomal RNA", at positions 355 to 776 of the family's 1533-position model. The record is from RNAcentral.